GGCGGCGUGGAUUGACAUGCAAGUCGAACGAGUUUCGUUUAGUAGCAAUACUGAGCGAAGCUAGUGGCGAACGGGUGCGUAACACAUGAGUCAUCUGCCCAGAAGUGGGGAAUAGCUCGGCGAAAGCCGGAUUAAUACCGCAUGUGGUCGUAAGACCAAAGCCGGGGCAACCUGGCGCUUUUGGAGGAGCUCGUGGCCUAUCAGCUAGUUGGUGAGGUAACGGCUCACCAAGGCAACGACGGGUAGCUGGUCUGAGAGGACGACCAGCCACACUGGAACUGAGAUACGGUCCAGACACCUACGGGUGGCAGCAGUCGAGAACUUUUCUCAAUGGGGGAAACCCUGAAGGAGCGACGCCGCGUGGAGGAUGAAUGCUUUCGGGUUGUAAACUCCUGUCAUUUGGGAACAAGACCUUACGUUAACUGCGUGGAGGAUUGAUAGUACCAGAAGAGGAAGAGACGGCUAACUCUGUGCCAGCAGCCGCGGUAAUACAGAGGUCUCGAGCGUUGUUCGGAUUCAUUGGGCGUAAAGGGCGCGUANGCGGCGGGGUAAGUCUGGUGUGAAAUCUAGGAGCUCAACUCCUA
RNAcentral lists this ribosomal RNA (584 nucleotides) under uncultured bacterium. Its description in RNAcentral is "bacterial SSU rRNA". It matches the Rfam family "Bacterial small subunit ribosomal RNA", at positions 38 to 618 of the family's 1533-position model. The record is from RNAcentral.